Non-coding RNA from Vicia faba (fava bean), 243 nucleotides. Lineage: Eukaryota; Viridiplantae; Streptophyta; Magnoliopsida; Fabales; Fabaceae. The record is from the annotation of a GenBank genome assembly.
AUGAACUUCGAGCAGCCUUGCUUUGAUAUCAACAUAAUCUCAGUCUUGUGUCCUUACCACUACCAUGAUAAUUCAUGCUUCAUACGACCCCAAAGAUUUUGCACACUUGCACCUUUGCCAUACCAAGAUAUAACCUGCAUAACAUUAAACCAGAAGAUACCAAGCAGAAGAGAUAAAUUAGAAAACAAAAUAGAGCCAAGACAAAUGAGAAUCUUGAGAAGUAAUUUCUUUCUUGGCAAAUAA